GGGGGUACAGCACAGUGGUAGAGCACUACCACUGUGGUGUGAGGCCCUGGGUUCAAUCCCCAGGACUUCCU
Molecule: transfer RNA, 71 nt
Filed under: Marmota monax (woodchuck)
Lineage: Eukaryota; Metazoa; Chordata; Mammalia; Rodentia; Sciuridae
Description: tRNA.Undet
Source: RNAcentral